CUUGGUAUGGAAACCCGCUGAGUGAGAACUUUCAAAUUCAGAGAAACCCUGGAAUUAAUAAAAAGGGGCAAUCCUGAGCCAAAUCCUAUUUUCUCCUAUUUUCCGAAAACAAAAGUUCGGAAAGUGAAAAAAGGGAUAGGUGCAGAGACUCAAUGGAAGCUGUUCUAACAAAUGGAGUUGGCUGCGGUAGUCGAGACGUCUUUUCAUCAAAAAUUCAUAAAGUCUAAGUAUUCAAGAUAAAGUGAAAUGAAGGAUAAACGUAUAUACAUACGUAGUAAAUAGUAUAUUAAAUGAGUAAUGACAGUUCGAAUGAAUCUAUAUUUUUUCUAUGAACAAAUAAAGAAUUGUUGUUAGUAGAUUCCGCGUUUAAGAAAGAAUCAACUAUUCAUUGAUCAAAAGAUUCACUCCAUAGUCUGAUCGAUCUUUUCACGAACUGAUUAAUCGGAUGAGAAUAAAGAUAGAGUCCCAUUCUACAUGUCAAUGCUGGCAACAAUGAAAUUUAUAGUUAAGAGGAAAAUCCGUCGACUUUUAAAAUCGUNNNNNNUCAAGUCCCUCUAUCCCCAAAUAGACUAUUUGACUCUCUAACUAUCUAUUUACCUAUCCCCUUUUUGUUAUCGGUUCAAAAUGCCUUAUCCAUCCGCUCUAUUCUCUUAGAAGUGAUCGGUGCAAGAAUGUCCGUUUCUUAUCACAUCUAUAUGAUAUACAUACAAAUACAAAGGAGCGUGUUUGAGCAAGAAAUCCCUAUUUGAUUUGAAUGAUUUACAAUCUAGAUAAUUACCCAUACUGCAAUUCCCAAAGUCCUCUUUUUUAAGAUACAAGCCAAACAAUUUCCGUACCUAAAUAAAACUUCGGAAUUCCUUUCCUUCUUUUAAUUGACACAGCCUGCAUUUUCGAGUAAAAUGAGGAUGCUACAUUGCGACGGGUCGGGAUAGCUCAGCUGGUAGAGCAGAGGACUGAAAAUCCUCGUGUCACCAGUUC
Molecule: unclassified non-coding RNA, 978 nt
Filed under: Pentanisia prunelloides
Lineage: Eukaryota; Viridiplantae; Streptophyta; Magnoliopsida; Gentianales; Rubiaceae
Description: partial contains trnL gene and trnL-F intergenic spacer
Rfam family: Group I catalytic intron (bases 1-487)
Source: RNAcentral